This 484-nucleotide ribosomal RNA is filed under the name uncultured bacterium. RNAcentral's name for it is "partial 16S ribosomal RNA". It matches the Rfam family "Bacterial small subunit ribosomal RNA", at positions 28 to 523 of the family's 1533-position model. The record is from RNAcentral.
GACGAACGCUGGCGGCGUGCUUAACACAUGCAAGUCGAACGAUGAAAGCUGGAGCUUGCUCCGGCUGGAUUAGUGGCGAACGGGUGAGUAACACGUGAGCAAUCUGCCCUUGACUCUGGGAUAACUCUGAGAAAUCGGUGCUAAUACCGGAUAUGACCUUGGCGGCAUCGCUGGGGGUGGAAAGUUUUUCGGUCAAGGAUGAGCUCGCGGCCUAUCAGCUUGUUGGUGAGGUAAUGGCUCACCAAGGCGACGACGGGUAGCCGGCCUGAGAGGGUGACCGGCCACACUGGGACUGAGACACGGCCCAGACUCCUACGGGAGGCAGCAGUGGGGAAUAUUGCACAAUGGGCGCAAGCCUGAUGCAGCAACGCCGCGUGGGGGAUGACGGCCUUCGGGUUGUAAACCUCUUUUAGCAGGGAAGAAGCGAAAGUGACGGUACCUGCAGAAAAAGCACCGGCUAACUACGUGCCAGCAGCCGCGGUAA